GGGAAAAAUGGGGGGCAGGCCUAACACAUGCAAGUCGAGCGGAAACGAGUUAACUGAACCUUCGGGGAACGUUAACGGCGUCGAGCGGCGGACGGGUGAGUAAUGCCUGGGAAAUUGCCCUGAUGUGGGGGAUAACCAUUGGAAACGAUGGCUAAUACCGCAUAAUAGCUUCGGCUCAAAGAGGGGGACCUUCGGGCCUCUCGCGUCAGGAUAUGCCCAGGUGGGAUUAGCUAGUUGGUGAGGUAAUGGCUCACCAAGGCGACGAUCCCUAGCUGGUCUGAGAGGAUGAUCAGCCACACUGGAACUGAGACACGGUCCAGACUCCUACGGGAGGCAGCAGUGGGGAAUAUUGCACAAUGGGCGCAAGCCUGAUGCAGCCAUGCCGCGUGUAUGAAGAAGGCCUUCGGGUUGUAAAGUACUUUCAGCAGUGAGGAAGGUGGGUAUGUUAAUAGCAUACACAUUUGACGUUAGCUGCAGAAGAAGCACCGGCUAACUCCGUGCCAGCAGCCGCGGUAAUACGGAGGGUGCGAGCGUUAAUCGGAAUUACUGGGCGUAAAGCGCAUGCUGGUGGCUUGUUAAGUCAGAUGUGAAAGCCCGGGGCUCAACCUCUGAAUUGCAUUUGAAACUGGCAAACUAGAGUACUGUAGAGGGGGGUAGAAUUUCAGGUGUAGUGGUGAAAUGUGUAGAGAUUUGAA
This 695-nucleotide ribosomal RNA is filed under the name uncultured bacterium. Its description in RNAcentral is "bacterial SSU rRNA". It matches the Rfam family "Bacterial small subunit ribosomal RNA", at positions 26 to 702 of the family's 1533-position model. The record is from RNAcentral.